GAGGAGGAGGGAUUGGAAGUGAAACUUGCAUUUUGUUCUGCCUGGAUUCCUGCAUAAAGGAUAAUAACAGAGACAUUUUGGAUUAGAAAUGUUCUACAAGAAGAAGGCUUCUAGAAGAAGAGAUAGGGGGUACAGCACAUGAGAAGAAAGUCAGCAAAUCUGCACAAAUGCCAGGAAAAAGAAAAAAAUAAGAAUAAAAUGAACUUACCAGACAUUGGAGAAGAUCAGUAAUUUUUUUAAUUAUUUUUUUUCUCAGAUUUUUCAAGGAAAGGGGAGAGAAAAAAAACAAAAAAAACAAAAAUCCCCAGGGAUGCUGCAGCCUGGUCUAGAGAGCUAAGUCCCUUCUCUAAGGCAAAAAAUAAGGCUCAAGAGUGUAAUUUCUUCAAAGUUCCCGAAAUAAAGCAGGUCCCUCUGCUGUAAUGGAGGCUGAGGAUAUAGGAUACCAAUGUAUUAUGGCUACAGAUAUAGGUUUGGAUUUUUUCCCCACCAUGCCAUCUAUUUAAAAACUCUAGAAACCAAUGAUUUGACAAUCAAUGAUUGCGCGAUAGUUUCAAUUUGAAUAUUCAAAGCCCUAACAAAAAGACAGAUCUUUUGGUGAAACAAAGCCCGUGUGCCUGUACCUGAGGGUCUUUAGGAAUAAGAUUCGAUGUCGAUCCCUCCCACCGGACUUUUCGGAAAGAAAUUUUUAACAUUUUUUAAAGCUUUUCCCUAAAAUGAGCAGAGGGGAGGUUAAUUAGCCCGGUAAUUGUGAGGCAGGGAGCUGCAGAUCCCCCGUCGCUGUUUUGUAAGGGGGAGCUAGUGAUUUGGGAACUUAGGGCGCAGGUGACGGAAUUUUGGGGGGUCACGCAGGGCUGAUUAGAGGGGUUUUAAGGGGGAUACGAGACAGCUAGGCCAGCAGGGGGCGUGGCAGCCGAGCAGACAGUGCUGAGCAUUGUGUCUUUGUGUGACAGGAGCAGGCCGGGCGCCUCGCAGCCUCCUCUGCUCAGGUGCAGCAUAUUACCACUGCCUUUUACACCCCCCUGUCCGUGAUAUUACAGAGGGGCGCACGAAAUAAAGGCGUGAACGCACCCGUGCAGUGUAAUCGUGUGAAAAUGCCAUAUGUCAUGGCUGUACACACGCGCUAUAUAAUGACAUAUCCUACUAAUCCUAUCUUAGUUUAUAGGUACAGAAAUACGUGCACCCAGCGUCGGAAGGGGGCGCUAUACGGAGAUUACCUGGAGCGGAGGUGUUGAUGCCGAUAGGGAGUGCGGGUGACCUCCUGUCCUUCUUUUUACUCCUCAUGCAGUAAUCACUACUAUUAUAAUAGUCUAGGCUUGCGGUAAGGCUACGUUCACACGGCCAUUUGUAUUUUGCGGUCCGCAAAAAAAUAUGGAUGACAUCCAUGUUGCAUCCGUUUUUUUUUUUUUUUUUGCGGAUCC
Bufo gargarizans (Asiatic toad) is the source of this 1418-nucleotide long non-coding RNA. RefSeq lists it as uncharacterized. The transcript has 2 exons. The record is from RefSeq and is a predicted model, not a curated record. Lineage: Eukaryota; Metazoa; Chordata; Amphibia; Anura; Bufonidae.